GAUGAACGCUGGCGGCAUGCCUAAUACAUGCAAGUCGAGCGAACAGACGAGGAUCUUGCUCCUCUGACGUUAGCGGCGGACGGGUGAGGAACACGUGGAUAACCUACCGAUAAGACUGGGAUAACUUCGGGAAACCUGAGCUAAUACCGGAUCAUAUAUUGAACGGCAUGGUUCAUUAGUGAAAGACGGUUUUGCUGUCACUUAUAGAUGUAUCCGCGCUGGAUUAGCUAGUUGGUAAGGUAACGGCUUACCAAGGCAACGAUGCGUAGCCGACCUGAGAGGGUGAUCGGCCACACUGGAACUGAGACACGGUCCAGACUCCUACGGGAGGCAGCAGUAGGGAAUCUUCCGCAAUGGGCGAAAGCUUGACGGAGCAACGCCGCGUGAGUGAUGAAGGUCUUCGGAUCGUAAAACUCUGUUAUUAGGGAAGAACAAAUGUGUAAGUAACUAUGCACGUCUUGACGGUACCUAAUCAGAAAGCCACGGCUAACUACGUG
RNAcentral lists this ribosomal RNA (497 nucleotides) under uncultured bacterium. Its description in RNAcentral is "partial 16S ribosomal RNA". It matches the Rfam family "Bacterial small subunit ribosomal RNA", at positions 28 to 507 of the family's 1533-position model. The record is from RNAcentral.